Clupea harengus (Atlantic herring) is the source of this 1472-nucleotide long non-coding RNA. The record is from Ensembl. NCBI's taxonomy places the organism in Eukaryota, Metazoa, Chordata, Actinopteri, Clupeiformes, Clupeidae.
UCUUUCCUUCUUCCACUCUUCUUUCCUUUCUUCACUCUCCUUUCCUUUCUUCACUCUCCGUUCCUUUCUUCUUUCCUUCUUUCACUCUUCUCUCUUUUCUUCUUUACUUCUUUCACUCUUCUCUCUUUUCUUUUUUCAUCUUCCACUCUUCUUUCCUUCUUUCACUCUUCUUUAUUUUCUUCUUACCUUCUUCCACUCUUCUUUCCUUAUUUCACUCUUCUUUCCUUUCUUCUUUCCUUUCUUCCUUCCUUCUUUCACACUUCUUUCUUUUUUUCUUCCUUUCUUAACUUUUGCAUUUCAUGCACUGGUAUUUCCUUCAGGAAAUGCAUUUUCUAGUUUUUCUCUCUAUCCCUCUCACUCUACUUUCUCUCACACUCCAUCUCUCUGCUUCACUCCAUUUUCUCUCCUUCUUUCAAUAUUUACAAUCUUUACUGUCUUUAUCCAGAGCCACUCUUGUUCACUCUUCUUUCCUUUCUUCUUUCUUUCUUCCACUCUUCUUUCCUUCUUCCACUCUUCUUUCCUUUCUUCUUCCACUCUUAUUUCCUUCUUUUACUCUUCUUUUCUUUCUUCUUUCCUUCUUCCACUCUUCUUUCCUUUCUUCUUUCCUUCUUUCACUCUUCUUUCCUUCUUCCACUCUUCUUUCCUUUCCUCUUUCCUUCUUCCACUCCUUUUUCCUUCUUCCACUCUUCUUUUCCUUCUUCUUUCCUUCUUCCACUCUUCUUUCUUUUCUUCUUUCCUUCUUUCACUCUUCUUUCUUUUCGUCUUCCUUUCUUAACUUUUGCAUUUCAUGCACUGGUAUUUCCUUCAGGAAAUGCAUUUUCUAGUUUCUUUUUCUUUUUAGUUUCUAUGUUUUGUUUCUAGCAGGGUUUAUCUCUCUGUGGGCCAACACCUCCAACAUGACAGCUUGAUCUUCAUGAGUGUUGAAGUAGUGUGGCAUAGUUGAGGUGUAUCCCCAUUAGUGACGUACCAUGGGUGUCUCUACGUGGUGAUGUGAAGGAGGGAGACCCGCUAAUUAGUUCACCUGGAUAUAGCCCCGUCAGGUAAGCUAUCUCUAGAGCUGCCUUUUGUCUUUUGUGUGUUCGAGUCCCUUGCCAUCGACAUCCAGCUGAGUGAUUUGUUUGUUGUGUUGGAGAUCCAAGCUUGCACAGAGUGCCGUGGCGUUUUAUCUUGGAGACGGGUUGAGUGACGUAGUGGAGAAACUGGGCAUCGUGUACGCCACUGUUUUUAUCCUGCAGUUUGUUUACUGUUUGUGUCCCGCAUAUUGUUUUGUACUGUUGGUGAGCUGACGUGUCUCUGAAUAGUGUAUUUAUGUAAAUUAAAGAUCGUAUGUUUUCUAUACUUAAACACCAAUCUUCGGCUAUCCGUUCAUAUCAACCUCACAGUAGGAACAUAACUACACAUCCUACAAGUACAUUAGAGUGGGAUUUACGCGUCAGGAGUCAGGCAAGCAGAGUGGGAGUGCAGUAACUCGU